This is a long non-coding RNA of Capra hircus (goat), 4634 nucleotides long. Lineage: Eukaryota; Metazoa; Chordata; Mammalia; Artiodactyla; Bovidae. The record is from Ensembl.
CAUGCUCAUCCCUGACCAAUCAGGGUGGUUGGGGAAAUACAGGCAUUCUGAUUGGCCAGGCCUGAGUCACAUGAUACCCGGAGUGGCGUCAGCUCUGUUUGAAGCCUGUGGACUGAAAGAGAAGAGUAGGGACAGCUAAGGGAAAACUGGCUGCUGUUAGCACUGAAAACAAUGAACAGGUGCCGGGCUGCUGGGUCACUAUGCGACCACCCGUGGGUUGUGGCACUCUGUCCUUCCAGGAGAUGGAAAGGGGAACCACAGCGUCUUUUCUGCGUGGUGGGCACAGGGACUGGCUCACCAGCCACUCUAGGGGUGGGGAGAGAGGGGGUCUGGCAUCUGAGGCUGUCAUUUUGCCAUUUGCAGGCUGGUUAAAAACACAUUUUCUUUUGUUCCAGAUUCCGAAUCUGAGCCAAGCAGCAAGUAAUUUGCCCUUCUGUCCUCCGCAUCUCUAUUCUUCAAGCUGUUUUCCUGCCCUUCUCAAAAACCGACUCUCCAGCCAUUCUGGAAAGACUUCGGGCUGGCCACCGGCAAGUUCGAGCUGGAAUUCAGUAUUGGAGGGUGACCCUUGGCUGCUUACCUCCCUACUCGGAGCCGGUUUCUCCAUCUAUCACCACCCGCUCAAGGACAAAAAAGAUGUUCUCACAGGAAGGGAGCGCCAUGCGUCUGGAACAGACCUGGGCCCUCAUUACCCAGCAGGUGCUGCAGGUAGGGGCACGGGGUGGCCAGCGAGGGGUGGACAGCAUCUCUGCUCGAGGCGGUGGCUCUCACUUUCCGUCUCUCUCUCCUCUUGCCUCCUCACAGACUUCCUGCUGACUGGUUUUUUUUUUUUUUCGUACUUGUUAGCUUCACAGUCUGUCCUGCCAACCUCCCUGUCCUGUUGGAUUGUGGAAUUUUCUCUCACCCCUUGCCCCCAUUCCCCCAGAGUUGGGGGAGGGGUGGCAGCAAGUUCCCAGCUGAGUACCAGCUUUCACCAUCUUGUGGUUGGGUCGAUAUUAUCUUCUUAUUUUUCCAGCCAUCUCCCCUCCUUGGGAGGCAAGGUUGCCACGGGUAAUUGGCCUCAAAUUUGUUUACCUCAGUUCUCAAACACUCCCUCCCACCUCCCGCACCCCUCCUCCUCCCCCUCUCCUCCCCCCGCCCUCGCCACUCCCCCUGUCUCCUCCAUCCCACCAGUGACUCCUGAAGCCAUCUGGAAUCUCAGCUCCCCUCCCGCCUCACUUGUGAGCCAGAGAAGGCCAGUUUGAGCACCGUGUGGGAGGCCCAAGCUUGCUUCGAACACGGGCAACUGGAUUCAGGAAACAGCUCGUCAGCAACAAAGGAAAAACACAAAUAAUGAGCUGUGGAGACCUGAGGCCAGGAAUUGGCAAAUAUAGAUGAAAGCAAGUCCCUGAUGAUAAAUUCGAAUGAUUUUUGUUCUUGUUCAGAACCACAGACUAAUUUUGAAAUAUCAGUCAUUAGGAGAGAAAGGGUUCAAGAGGGGGCGGGAGCUGAGUCCACGUCUACGGGAGGUGGAGAACUUCGUGGCCUGGGAGGCUCUGGGCGCUCCCAUGUGCAACGCCCCACUUCCCCAGCUAAGUUACCUCGAGGAUCCUCUGUGAGGCAGGCAGAAAGCAUCAUCCUUUGUUGUUGUUUCUAACAAAGAAAGAAACUGAGGCCGAGAGAGAGGAUUGGUUCUGUCUGGGAUGGGCUUGAGCUCCCGUUUGGGUCUUUCUGCUGAACUAGGCGGGCCUCCCCCCAUGGGGAGACAGAGAUUUCCUUAGCUUACAGAAGACUUCAGGUCAGAUUUGUGACAAAUCCUCUCUGAGACCCAGGGUGACAGCCAAGAUAAUUAAUAACCCCAAAGACCAGGCAUUGAUGCUUCAGAGCUGUGGCCAGAGCAGGUCCAGAGGGUCCCGGAGGCCCAAGGAGGCCAGAGCAGCCAGGACAGAGGAGGCAGGGGCCUCAGGGAGCCUGAGGCAGAAGCCACACGCCAUCUGGGGUGGAAGCAAGCGGCUCACACCACCAGGUGUCCCAGCGGACCCUCAGCGCUGCUCCAGCCAGCACCCGAUGUGGACCCGGCACGUAGUUCUUCCAUAGAACCCAAGCCUGUCCUCACUCUCACCAGCCCGGGAGGUGGGAAGGAGUGUGACUUGGGCUCUAGGUCAUUCAGCUUGCUGCCCUCUCUAUUUCUGUAUCUGUGAGUUGGGGACAGUUCUUGAAACAGUUGCUCUAGAACUUUGGGCAGAGCAGACAAGCUUGUCCAGCACUUGACCUAGAGCCUGGCCCGAGGCUACUGCUUCUCAGUUCCAAAUACCCCAGCUCGGGUCUUGUGAGAAAUGUGACCCCCAGGCAGUAAGAUGAGUUAUAUAGUACCAUGUAGACACGUGUCUAUACUUCUGGACAGAGCAAGGUGGCUGCAUCCACAACUGCCCUCCUCACCACAGGCCCCUCUCUAGAAACAGCCUUGGGACCACACAGAACACAGCAUUCUUUCCUGGGGUCAUGACAGCAAAGAUGGAACUUCCUGGCUCAUUCACCUGCUGGGCCCACCUCGUGCCACCUUGGCUGGAACAGGGCAUGGCGGCAAAAGGGCCAGAGGUUGCCUUCCUCACAGAGACCUCAGGGGUCCUUGGGGCAGCACACUGUCUCCUGAGGGGCCCCUCUCCCUUGAGCCCAGCCCAAGGGAGACAGCCCUGUCCCUUGAUGCCAGGUUGCCCCUUUGUCCCUGGGCGUGUCCCUGUUGAUGGAGCCCACGUCACCCAGGUGGACUUGGGGUCGGGUCAGGCACUGGAAUGAGGGAGAAGGAUUGGAUCAAGAGCCUUCCCUUCCCUUCCUCUGGCCAACUCCCCCAGCAUCUCACAGGAAGCUAGCUACACACCUGACUUUCAGAUCCAUCAGCUGACAGCAGCAAGGCUGCCCUGGCAUCAAUCAGGCCUCCUAGUCUCACUUUGGAGAGGAUGCGGGGGUGGGGGUAGGGACCAGGCAAGGGAGAGGGGAGGAGAUGGUAGCUUUGCAGGGAUCGUCGCAGUGGUGGUUCCUCCAGUCUCUGGCCAGGACACGCUCCCAUCAAAGGGUGGAGGUCCCUGUGCUGCCUGCAUCAGCUACCUGGGGGUGCUUGUUGAACAUGCAGGUUCCAGGGCUCCACCUCAGUCCUGCCGAGCGAGAAUCACUGGGGCAGUGCUAUCAAACUGACCUUUCAAGCGACCGCUCCAGAGAUGGUCUUCAUUCAAAAUAUUUGAGAGUCACCCACUAGCCUAGACUGAAAUGCCAUGCUUCUGGGUUCAGGACCCCCUCUUAACUCCCUCCUCCCCACCCUAGACUGCCUGGGUUUGAGCCCCGUCUUUGCCACUUACAAGCCGUGGGGAUUUGGCCAAGCAGUUCACACCCCUGCUCCAGUUGCCCCAUCUGUGAAAUGGCAGCGAAGCAGAACCCACCUUCUCUUCAGCCUCCCCAAGCCCUGCUUCCAAAGGGAUGGACGGCAUCUUGCCUUGUGGCUUCCCGAGAGCAACUCAGAUGGGCGCCAUCACAGAUGAGAGCCUGUCCCUGGCUUGUCCCUAUCCACAGGUCCUGGGGGUGGGAUGUGUCAGGAGUGGGAAUGGUUCUGAGCCAGACACACACGAACCUUCCAGUCCCCUUGUCGGCACUUCUGGCUGUGUGAUCCCGGGCAAGUCCAUUCUCAGUGCGGGCUCAGAGCUCUCCCAGACAGGCAAGCCACUGUUUGCACACAGUAAGGAUGUAGGUGAUCAGCUUACAAAUAAAUCAAUGAAACUAAGUGACUGAAAAUACCGAUAACCUUUGUGAAGGCAAGAAAAAGGGGGUGCUGAUAAAGAGGGACAGUCUGGAAGCCCAGCAUUUGUGUGGAGACCUGAAUCCCAAGUUACUGGCCUGGUAUAAAUGGUGGCUGAGCCUUCCAGGCAGAGAGCACGGCAAUUGCAAAGGCCAGAGGGCAGGAAUGGGCAUGGCGAGGCAAGGCAACAAAGAUGGCUGAUGGGGCAGGAGCAUCUGAGGGAGGGGCAGUGGGGGAGGGGUUAGAGAGGGCUGCAGCAGGCAGACCUUGCAGGGUCCACGAGUUCAUUCCAAGUGCUGUGGGAACCUCACUCCUGCCAGGAGGCGUGAAUGGGGUAAGGGCAGCUCCAGCCAGCACAGUGCUAGAGGGGUGCUCUCUGUGCCCGUACUCUGUGACAGCCCAUAUGGCAGCUUGUGGCCUCAGAUCCUAUAAGGGAGUUAAAACUGUUCCCAAGUCCGGGCCCUGGGAGCCCGUUAGAAGACAUCAGGAUGUGUAUGUUUGGAUCACUGGCUUCUCCCUGCUUUCCUGCCAUGGACUGACAGUAGAGAAUAUCCCUCCUCUCCUCUGUUUUCUCAAACCUUACAUCCAGCCAGAGCUUUUAAGAGCAGCUUUUUUCAGAGAUCCUUGAAUCCAUGUGGUACCCCGGGGAAGAACAGAGCCUGGUCAUUUUGGGGUUCUGGCCUCGGUACGGCUUGGUGUCUGUGCUGGUGAAAGCCUGGUCGCCCCUCCUUGUAGGAUAGAUGGACUGGCCAUCUGCCUGAGGGGUGUGCCAACCCCCCUCUGGGGGCCUGGCUCUGGGGACGGGAGUGGGCUGCGGGGAGAAGGAGCAGGAAGGAAGGAGGCAGAGGCAGCACGGGGAGGGAGGGCGACU